Erinaceus europaeus (western European hedgehog) is the source of this 289-nucleotide unclassified non-coding RNA. Its record names the gene 7SK. It matches the Rfam family "7SK RNA". From Rfam's summary of the family: 7SK was discovered as an abundant small nuclear RNA in the mid-70s but a possible function has only recently been suggested. Two independent studies have found that 7SK RNA binds the CDK9/cyclin T complex (known as elongation factor P-TEFb). Lineage: Eukaryota; Metazoa; Chordata; Mammalia; Eulipotyphla; Erinaceidae. The record is from Ensembl.
GGAUGUCAGGGCAAUCUGGCUGCAACAUCUGUCACUCCAUUGAUCGCCAGGGCUGACUUGGCUGAUCUGGCUGGCUAGGCGGGUGUCCCCUUCCUCCCUCACCGUUCCAUGUGCGUCCCUCCCAAAGCUGCGAGCUUGGUCGAAGAGGAUCGCCUUCCGCCUUCCCCCAAUAGAGACCAGAUCGAGGGUAUAGGAGUAGCUGCGCUCCCCUGCUAGAACCUCCAAACAAGCUUUCAAGGAGUGAGUUUGAGAUCCCUUACAUCUUCUGUCUACAUUUUGUUUUAUCUAU